AUUGAAGAUCUAUGAGUGACAGCAGUUGACAGUUUUAUACGAGUUUAAAAACGUAGCUAAUAUGGCGUUGUUUACAAUUUCUGAUCAAUUGCAUUUAAAUUAUUGUCCAAAAACUAUUCUUUCAAGAAUAUCAUAGCCAAUAAGAUGUUAAAACAACUAAAUAGUUCAAGUAAAAAGCUCAUUAAUACACUAUUUUAUAUUGGAACGAAAUAAUUAUUACCCUAGAAGAAAAUAUUAGAGAAUGUUACGAUAAAUGAAGCAUGACAACCACAUAAGUUAAUGGUAAAGGGCAAUAUAUAAAAGAAAUAAAACAUGUAGUUAUAUUUAUUUUGAUUUUGUUUAAAACAAACUUUAGAAAAGAUAUUUACCUACCAGCUGAACAUGGACAUAAAGUAUUAUGUCUUCCACUAUGUCUUCGAUAUAAUUUUAUUAUUUCGAAGCAUUAUAAACAAAUUUGAAUGAAAAUGCAGAAAAUAAAUUGUUUGAAUAUGUAAUUUUAAGCACUUCAAACAGUAACAAACUGAAAAACUAUCAAUUUUGCAAAGAAAGAGUUAACAAAUGGUAUAAAUGAGAACAAAUAAUAGAAAUACAAGAAGUUACUCCAAUUGUUAAUAACUACAGUGAUUUCCGUGACUUCUUGUCACAAUCUGAAGAAAAACUUAUUCUAAUAUAAAAAUAAUGUACUGUUAACCCCUGUAUACCUUGCAAAGCAUUUUAACCUGUAUUUUUAUUAAUAAAAUUAUGACCAU
Diorhabda sublineata is the source of this 749-nucleotide long non-coding RNA. RefSeq lists it as uncharacterized. The record is from RefSeq and is a predicted model, not a curated record. NCBI's taxonomy places the organism in Eukaryota, Metazoa, Arthropoda, Insecta, Coleoptera, Chrysomelidae. The transcript is spliced from 2 exons.